RNAcentral lists this ribosomal RNA (253 nucleotides) under uncultured bacterium. Its description in RNAcentral is "partial 16S ribosomal RNA". It matches the Rfam family "Bacterial small subunit ribosomal RNA", at positions 524 to 776 of the family's 1533-position model. The record is from RNAcentral.
UACGUAGGUGGCAAGCGUUGUCCGGAUUUACUGGGCGUAAAGAGCGCGCAGGCGGUCGUUCAAGUCGCGUGUGAAAGCCCCCGGCUCAACUGGGGAGGGUCACGCGAUACUGAUCGACUCGAAGGCAGGAGAGGGAAGUGGAAUUCCCGGUGUAGUGGUGAAAUGCGUAGAUAUCGGGAGGAACACCUGUGGCGAAAGCGGCUCACUGGACCACAACUGACGCUGAGGCGCGAAAGCUAGGGGAGCAAACAGG